RNAcentral lists this ribosomal RNA (494 nucleotides) under uncultured bacterium. Its description in RNAcentral is "partial 16S ribosomal RNA". It matches the Rfam family "Bacterial small subunit ribosomal RNA", at positions 28 to 506 of the family's 1533-position model. The record is from RNAcentral.
GAUGAACGCUGGCGGCGUGCCUAAUACAUGCAAGUAGAACGCUGAAGGAGGAGCUUGCUCUUCUGGAUGAGUUGCGAACGGGUGAGUAACGCGUAGGUAACCUGCCUGGUAGCGGGGGAUAACUAUUGGAAACGAUAGCUAAUACCGCAUGACAACAGUUAUUGCAUGAUAACUGUUUAAAAGGGGCAACUGCUCCACUAACAGAUGGAACUGCGUUGUAUUUGCUAGUUGGUGAGGUAACGGCCCACCAAGGCGACGAUACAUAGCCGAACUGAGAGGGGGAUCGGCCACACUGGGACUGAGACACGGCCCAGACUCCUACGGGAGGCAGCAGUAGGGAAUCUUCGGCAAUGGACGGAAGUCUGACCGAGCAACGCCGCGUGAGUGAAGAAGGUUUUCGGAUCGUAAAGCUCUGUUGUAAGGGAAGAACGAGUGUGAGAGUGGAAAGUUCACACUGUGCCGGUAUCUUACAAGAAAGGGACGGCUAACUACGG